This 1499-nucleotide long non-coding RNA is filed under the name Nicotiana benthamiana. RNAcentral describes it as "long non-coding RNA (NBEN_LNC039953)". Lineage: Eukaryota; Viridiplantae; Streptophyta; Magnoliopsida; Solanales; Solanaceae. The record is from RNAcentral.
AGCUACCAUUUUUGCCAUUCAAGGAAUGCUUUUUAGAGAGUUGAAAACUCCAAAAUACAUACGACUAAGAAUAAAAUAAUUACUGUUCCAUUGAAAAGAAAUCUUUGGAAAAUCCAGUGGUAUUCACUCUGAGAUAAUUUCUGAUGAGAUGAAGGUUAAAAUGAGUUGAGUUAGCUGGUGCUCAAGGUUUUUCUGUUCAUUUAUGGUUUGGUUUAAUUAUUGGGGCUUUGUUGAACACUAUUGAGACUUUUAUGCGAUCAAAUUUUGUUCAAAAACUGGUUCUCUUUGAUUAUUUCUGGGCUGAUUUGUUGUUGAUGUUGUCUUUGAUCUUCACAUCUUCUUCAUUUUUCUUUGCAAAUUCCAGGUAUUAUUCACUCCCCAUGGAUGUCACUAGAUGUACAACUUGGAGAAUAGAUUUGAGUGAAGUGAAUUUUGAUGCCUUGUUGUAUGAAUAAGCUUUUCUUUCUUGUAGUCGUGUGUACAUUUUGGUAGUUAGUAAAUGAGAAUGCCAAAUGAUUUAAGUAUCUUGUGUUACUAGUGAUAUUAAGUUUAAAUUAUAGGCUCAUAUGUAUGUUUUUUUUGGUUUCACUAGUAAAUCUGGUUCUGUGCUAAUGAGCACAGUUUAUUUUAGUUAGUAUGAAUUAAUUGUUGGCUUAAGAAGGAAACCAUUCACUCUGAAAUAUCAGCUUUUUGUAUGCUGGCUAUAACAGAAAAUUUAGUUGUUGAGAGGCAUGAUUUGAGUGUAGGCUCGUUGGAUUUAUGGUGAUAAAUUGUUUAAUUGACUCGUAUAUGUUUAGAUUUGUUUUUAGUCAAAAUUUGAAGUUAAGUGUAUGCUUUGUAGGACCCAUUCCCGAUUCAUUUUUUUUAUUCUGAAAGUGUCAACAUGCACAUAAAAGAUUAGAGCAUGUGAGUUAAAGUGUUUCUUUUGAUAAACAUGUAUGUGAACUCAAGCAAUUAUGGAUAUAUGUCUAAAUGCUCUAUAUGUUAAAUUUGGCUCCAACUGAUGAUUGCAUAAGUUUUUUAUAUUAUAAAAUCAGUGCUUGAAAUAAAAUUGGACAUUGAUAUCAAGGCGUAGUGAAAAAAUUUUCCAUUUGGAUAAUUGUUAAGAACGUCCCUUUGUUUUGCUUUCACUAGGGUUCGGUCCAAGAUCCCUCUGCCAGCACCCCAUGUCGAUAAUGAUUGGGCUCUUUUGGUCCUAAACAGUGAAAUUGUAUUGGAACGAAGAGGUGCCUACUACCUCGAGCAGUUUGUUAGUUCUUUGUUGUUUGUCUCUUAAUAGAAAUUUCAACAGAUUAUUGGUCCUAUCCCCGAGACUUGGUGCCUUUGAAUAUUCAAUUGUUUAAUUUUAAAUAGAAAUAGUCGUAAUCUCUUUAAGUCUCUUAUUAAUUGGUUUCCCGAAAAAACAAAUUUGAGGUGAGCCAUGUUGCAUAAUAAAAACAAGUUUAUAGCUGUCUAACACGUAGCUCGAACUUUCUCUGAGAGUUAGAAUUGAGGUGAGC